This 2513-nucleotide small RNA is filed under the name Oryza sativa Japonica Group (Japanese rice). RNAcentral's name for it is "sRNA Os11g0221250". The record is from RNAcentral. Lineage: Eukaryota; Viridiplantae; Streptophyta; Magnoliopsida; Poales; Poaceae.
GAUGCAAAUCUAUCACCAAAAUUAAAUGUGUUUUUCAAACAAUACAAGUAUGUAUUUUGUUUUGCAAUUUUUUUUUGUAUGUUGCAUUUAUAGUACAUAUAUCAAUUGCUGACUUUCAUGAAUAUAAAAAUAGUUGCAUGUUCUAUACUUUUGAUAAAACAAUAUCUUUUGGAUUUUCACAAGUCAUUUCCCUUGAAUUCUUUCUAGAUAUGCUAACACACUAAUAUUUGUGUAGUAGUCCAUAAAUUGUGUUUGGAGGGGUAACGCACUGUUCUAGAGAAAUAUUACUUAUGCUUUCUUUUGGUAGUAAUAAAUGCGUAGAAAUUAUCAUGGUAUCCUUACCUAGUUUGGAAUUUUUCCCUUUUUAUCCUAGUGAUUAAAUUCAACAGUUCCUACAUGUAGCAUGGCACAAUCCCCACUUAAGCAAAAAUCAACGCAUUCAAAAUAUAUAUUGUUCUUGUUUUGUUGGGUAGGGCACAACCUCACAUCUCAACGAAACAAUAUAGCAUAACAAUAUUUCUUAAAAGUAAAUAGCAUUGAAUGAGAAUGUAGAUAGAUAUGAUUAUGUUGCCAUCAUAAUUUAAAAAGCGUACGAUGUGUUGGUCAUAUGUUUUUGUCAAAAAAUGUAUGGAUCAUAUGAAUUUUUGAGAGAUAUAUGAAACAAGUAUAGCAAUAGUUUGUUAAUAUACUUUAAUAAUGCUCUCCAAGUUAUUGCAUACAUUAAGUAUAAUGCCUACAAUUGAUCAUAGUUAAUCUACAUGAUUAUGGCAGUCAACGUUUUUGACAAAGUCAACUUUGUUGGUUUGAAGGUAAAAUAAUAUAAGCAACUAUAUGAAGAGAAACCAACUCAAGUAGAUCUAUCUGAUAACAAAAUAAUAGCAUAAAACAGAUGUAAUUAUAUAAUAUUAUUGAUAUUAAAGGGAUCACUACUACACAACUACAAAGCAAAACUAUAUAAUGAUGAACGACUAUCCUCAACUGUAAGAGUAUUCUAAAGAACUAUGGUAUGGGACAUAUAUGCUAGUAAUUAAGAGAGUAAAUUUCAUAAAACCCCAGGUUUUGAGACAACUACAGCAUAAAACCUCAGAUUUGUUUCGAGGAACCCGAGAUUUUGGGGCAAAAUGUUUCAAGAAACCCCAUGUUUAAAUCAAAUACUCAUAAUUUCAUUAUUAUAUAUGAUAUAUUUAGUAUAUACAUUAACAAACUCAAAAUACAUAUACCUCUUGUGCACUUUAUUGUCUUCCUCACUCUUGCAUUACACCAUUUAAAAAGUGCAACACAACCCCUUAAUAGUUACACAUUAACCAGUUCCUUAGACACAUAAACAGCCAUACUACCAAUAACCAAUGCUCGUUAAAAUAAGUCCAACAUGUAUAUUAGGAAUGUCUCUUAUUAUUUUUUUUAAAUUACUAUGCAUACAUAUAUUAGUCAAAAAACCGAUUUAAGCUUAAGCGUGGGGUUUGUUGAAACAUUUUGCCCCAAAACCUAGGAUUAUUCAAAACAAAUCUUAAUACCUGGGGUUUUGCAUUACGGGUGCCUCAAAACCUGGGGUUUUGUGAAAUUUACUCUAAUUAAGAAGAAUAACACAUAGAUCAAAGAGGAUGCAUAGAAAAUAUAUGAACCUUUGCAUCGGUGAAGUCCUUCUGAAGUAGGCUUUAUAUAGUUUGCCAUCUAUAAUAUGAAAUAGCAACAUUUGUUAUCAUACCUUGACACAACUUAUUUUGAUACAAACUAAUUCAGAGAUUAUCUUGCCACCAAAAGUACCCACCCCACCCCUACCCUGCCUCAUCCCCAGCCUCCUGGUUGGCUCCUUCCCCAACUACGGUCAGACUAUGCAUGUACCAUAUUGCAAUAUCUCAAGAAAUUAGAGGAAAAUAUAACUAGAACUGGUGUGUGUAAAAAUAUAUCAUACCUUGAUGACGUUUCUCCUGAUUCAAUGUGGAAAAGAUAACCUUUUCACAAAGAACAUCCAAAUUGUCCGAUGGGCUUCUUCCCCACAACGAUCAGACAAAGUGCACAAAUAGAUUGAUGUGUAGGUUGCCAGCAUUUUUUUUUAAGAAUAGAUAGAAAUCCGACCUCUAUAUCCAUAUAUGGCCAAACGUGAUUGUGGGCCUCAUAACUUAGGGACAAAAAAAAAGCUAAAAGACUAAGAAAGAAAGGUAAAAGACUUACUUCAAAUCUUCUUCUAUGUCCUUGCUUUAACCUUACUCUAUCCUUCUGUAGCAACAAUUAUGUUUUCUACUAGAAACUUUGGUAUGAGAAUGACCCUAUUAGAAAUGGAUCAUAUGUUGCUUGCCAAGCUCUAUUGCACAGAAAUCUCACAAAGACAUAAUCGCCACCAACACAAUCACUCUCCGACCUCUUCCAACGCAACGAACAACCAUUAAUCAUCACUUAUUGCCCCUCAUAGAGCUCCUCGUCGCAUGUGGUCAAACAAACAAGGGACGAAAAGGAUGGAUCUAGCCCCCCUGCAACCACCAUGCCCUCCCGCUGCCACCACUGCCUCCUUUCGA